UACAGAGGGUGCGAGCGUUAAUCGGAAUUACUGGGCGUAAAGCGUGCGUAGACGGUAGCGUAAGUCAGAUGUGAAAGCCCCGGGCUCAACCUGGGAACUGCAUUUGAGACUGCUCUGCUCGGGUGCGGAAGAGGGAAGCGGAAUUCCCGGUGUAGCGGUGAAAUGCGCAGAUAUCGGGAGGAACACCGGUGGCGAAGGCGGUUCUCUGGGCCUGUACUGACGCUGAGGAGCGAAAGCGUGGGGAGCGAACAGG
This 253-nucleotide ribosomal RNA is filed under the name uncultured bacterium. RNAcentral describes it as "partial 16S ribosomal RNA". It matches the Rfam family "Bacterial small subunit ribosomal RNA", at positions 524 to 776 of the family's 1533-position model. The record is from RNAcentral.